CUUGAUGUCUUAGGUAAUUAUCCUUAGGCCAAGAUCCUGUCACCUUAGGUCGAUCGGUAUCUCAGAUUAAUUGCUAAGUAAUUGAUUUCAGUUCCUAAACUUGUCUAGGUCACACCCAGCAAGGGUACUCCUGGGCCAUUAGCUCAGGUGGUUAGAGCGCACCCCUGAUAAGGGUGAGGUCCCUGGUUCAAGUCCAGGAUGGCCCAUUCGAUGUUGGGGGUAUAGCUCAGUUGGUAGAGCGCCUGCUUUGCAAGCAGGAUGUCAGCGGUUCGAGUCCGCUUACCUCCACUGAUCGACCUCCUGAUAGCGAAAUUCAAGGAGAUUGACUUUGCUUGAUGUGACCAUGACAUUUAUCUGAAUGAACCUAGCUUCUUAUCAUUCCAAUAUACAAAUUACAUUGGUUGAUAUGAUGCUGGGCUCCCUGGAAUUUAAACAUUUCAGAGAAUCUCAGUAGAACCUUGACAACUGCAUAGGUAAGUCUGGAAAGAAUAAAGCAUCUCAUGGAUGCAUUAUUUAAAUAAGGUAAAUUAAACUUAUCUUAUUUACUAAUGUUUAAUUCUUGAGUAAGAGCAGAGACUCUAUUUCGUUCUUUUAAUAUUUAAUUCAUAUUAAGAG
Molecule: transfer RNA, 615 nt
Filed under: uncultured Prochlorococcus sp.
Lineage: Bacteria; Bacillati; Cyanobacteriota; Cyanophyceae; Synechococcales; Prochlorococcaceae
Description: partial 16S-23S ribosomal RNA intergenic spacer
Rfam family: tRNA (bases 216-288)
Source: RNAcentral